This 510-nucleotide ribosomal RNA is filed under the name uncultured bacterium. Its description in RNAcentral is "partial 16S ribosomal RNA". It matches the Rfam family "Bacterial small subunit ribosomal RNA", at positions 28 to 507 of the family's 1533-position model. The record is from RNAcentral.
GACGAACGCUGGCGGCGUGCUUAACACAUGCAAGUCGAACGAAAAGCGCUGGACUCUUGCUUCUCGCGAUCUUAGUGCCUGACGAGUGGGUAACGCGUAAUCAACCUGCCCUUCAGAGGGGUACAACAGUCGGAAACUACUGCUAAUACCACAUACGAUCCCACCUCGGCAUCGCGGAUGUAUAAAAGGUGGCCUCUAUUUAUAAGCUCUCACUGAAGGAGGGGAUUUCGUCUGAUUAGCUAGGUGGUGGGGUACCUGCGAACCAAGGCAAGGAACAGUAGCAGGCCUGAGAGGAUGAAAGGCCACAUUGGGACGGGGACACGGCCCAGAAUCCUACGGGAGGGAGCAGGGGGGAACUCUUCGCAAUGGACGAAAUGCUGAAGGAGCAACGCCGCGUGAGAGAUUGAUGCAUUCGGGUUGUGAAGCUCUGUUAAGCGGGACGAAAGGACUUCUUGCGAAUAGUUAGAAGAAUUGACGGUACCGGAAGAGAAAGCCACGGCUAACUACGUG